RNAcentral lists this ribosomal RNA (399 nucleotides) under uncultured bacterium. Its description in RNAcentral is "partial 16S ribosomal RNA". It matches the Rfam family "Bacterial small subunit ribosomal RNA", at positions 360 to 776 of the family's 1533-position model. The record is from RNAcentral.
AACCUUGCGCAAUGGGCGAAAGCCUGACGCAGCCAUGCCGCGUGAUGGAUGAAGGUCUUAGGAUUGUAAAAUUCUUUCACCGGGGACGAUAAUGACGGUACCCGGAGAAGAAGCCCCGGCUAACUUCGUGCCAGCAGCCGCGGUAAUACGAAGGGGGCUAGCAUUGCUCGGAAUUACUGGGCGUAAAGGGCGCGUAGGCGGAUCGUUAAGUCAGGAGUGAAAUCCCGGGGCUCAACCUCGGAAUUGCCAUUGAUACUGGCAAUCUUGAGUAUGAGAGAGGUAUGUGGAACUCCGAGUGUAGGGGUGAAAUUCGUAGAUAUUCGGAAGAACACCAGUGGCGAAGGCGACAUACUGGCUCAUUACUGACGCUGAGGCGCGAAAGCGUGGGGAGCAAACAGU